Molecule: ribosomal RNA, 330 nt
Filed under: Triticum aestivum (bread wheat)
Lineage: Eukaryota; Viridiplantae; Streptophyta; Magnoliopsida; Poales; Poaceae
Description: partial small subunit ribosomal RNA
Source: RNAcentral
AUGGAAUUGGAAUUUUUUCUCUAUAGAUGUUGUUUGAUUCAUAUGAAUGCAAUCCUUAGGAAUCAUUCCUAUGGAACUUUCCCUUUUCUAUUUGGUAGGAAAUUUUGCAUGAAUUCUAAGCUCUUGGAAAAUUCCUAUGCUUCCAUCAAACACACACUUGCUCCAAUUCCUUUGUCUUGCAAUUUCAUUGGAUUCAGAUGGGCAGGGCAUAUUAAUCCUCCAUUUUUCCUAUCCUCUGAAUUAAAGGAGCCCUUAGUCAGUAAGAUAGUGAAUGCAGCUGCUCAGCUAGUAGUAGUCAAUUUGCCUUUUGCAUGUACUAGCAACUGCUAG